GGGGAAUAUUGGACAAUGGGCGCAAGCCUGAUCCAGCCACGCCGCGUGAGUGAUGAAGGCCUUCGGGUUGUAAAGCUCUGUGGGGAGGGGCGAAAACGGCCGGUAAGAAACGACCGGUCCUUGACGGUACCUCCUUAGCAAGCACCGGCUAACUCUGUGCCAGCAGCCGCGGUAAUACAGAGGGUGCGAACGUUGCUCGGAAUUACUGGGCGUAAAGCGCGUGUAGGCGGAUGGGUAAGUCAGAUGUGAAAUCCCCGGGCUCAACCCGGGAACUGCAUUUGAAACUGCUCGUCUUGAGUACCGGAGAGGGUGGCGGAAUUCCUGGUGUAGAGGUGAAAUUCGUAGAUAUCAGGAGGAACACCGGUGGCGAAGGCGGCCACCUGGACGGUAACUGACGCUGAGACGCGAAAGCGUGGGGAGCAAAC
This 425-nucleotide ribosomal RNA is filed under the name uncultured bacterium. RNAcentral describes it as "bacterial SSU rRNA". It matches the Rfam family "Bacterial small subunit ribosomal RNA", at positions 356 to 773 of the family's 1533-position model. The record is from RNAcentral.